GAUGAACGCUAGCGGCAGGCCUAACACAUGCAAGUCGAGGGGUAACAGAAGAGAGCUUGCUUUCUUGCUGACGACCGGCGCACGGGUGCGUAACGCGUAUGCAACCUACCUCUUACUGGAGGAUAGCCCGGAGAAAUCCGGAUUAAUACUCCAUGGUAUUAUUCUUUCGCAUGUUAGAAUAAUUAAAGGUUACGGUAAGAGAUGGGCAUGCGUCCCAUUAGCUAGAUGGUAAGGUAACGGCUUACCAUGGCAACGAUGGGUAGGGGGCCUGAGAGGGUGAUCCCCCACACUGGUACUGAGACACGGACCAGACUCCUACGGGAGGCAGCAGUGAGGAAUAUUGGGCAAUGGAGGCAACUCUGACCCAGCCAUGCCGCGUGCAGGAAGAAUGCCCUAUGGGUUGUAAACUGCUUUUAUUUGGGAAUAAACUCCGGUACGUGUACCGGCCUGAAUGUACCAAACGAAUAAGCACCGGCUAACUCCG
RNAcentral lists this ribosomal RNA (484 nucleotides) under uncultured Fluviicola sp. RNAcentral's name for it is "bacterial SSU rRNA". It matches the Rfam family "Bacterial small subunit ribosomal RNA", at positions 28 to 505 of the family's 1533-position model. Lineage: Bacteria; Pseudomonadati; Bacteroidota; Flavobacteriia; Flavobacteriales; Crocinitomicaceae. The record is from RNAcentral.